UACGUAGGGGGCUAGCGUUGUCCGGAAUCAUUGGGCGUAAAGAGCGUGUAGGCGGCCAGACAGGUCCGUUGUGAAAACUAGAGGCUAAACCUCUAGACGUCGAUGGAAACCGUUUGGCUAGAGUCCGGAAGAGGAGAAUGGAAUUCCUGGUGUAGCGGUGAAAUGCGCAGAUAUCAGGAAGAACACCCGUGGCUAAGGCGGUUCUCUAGUACGGUACUGACGCUGAGACGCGAAAGCGUGGGGAGCGAACAGG
This 253-nucleotide ribosomal RNA is filed under the name uncultured bacterium. Its description in RNAcentral is "partial 16S ribosomal RNA". It matches the Rfam family "Bacterial small subunit ribosomal RNA", at positions 524 to 776 of the family's 1533-position model. The record is from RNAcentral.